This 467-nucleotide ribosomal RNA is filed under the name uncultured bacterium. RNAcentral describes it as "partial 16S ribosomal RNA". It matches the Rfam family "Bacterial small subunit ribosomal RNA", at positions 28 to 506 of the family's 1533-position model. The record is from RNAcentral.
GACGAACGCUGGCGGCGUGCUUAACACAUGCAAGUCGAACGGAAAGGCCCUGCUUUUGUGGGGUGCUCGAGUGGCGAACGGGUGAGUAACACGUGAGUAACCUGCCCUUGACUUUGGGAUAACUUCAGGAAACUGGGGCUAAUACCGGAUAGGAGCUCCUGCUGCAUGGUGGGGGUUGGAAAGUUUCGGCGGUUGGGGAUGGACUCGCGGCUUAUCAGCUUGUUGGUGGGGUAGUGGCUUACCAAGGCUUUGACGGGUAGCCGGCCUGAGAGGGUGACCGGGCACAUUGGGACUGAGAUACGGCCCAGACUCCUACGGGAGGCAGGAGUGGGGAAUAUUGCACAAUGGGCGGAAGCUGGAUGCAGCAACGCCGCGUGCGGGAUGACGGCCUUCGGGUUGUAAACCGAUUUCGCCUGUGACGAAGCGUGAGUGACGGUAAUGGGUAAAGAAGCACCGGCUAACUACGU